GCUCGGCCCAUCCUACCGCUCGGCCACACCAGACGCAGCCGCGCAGGAUGCUUUAGGCGCUGUUCCUUUCCCGGCGAUCGCCGGCGACGGCCCACCCCGACCUGCACCACGCUGCUCCUGGCCGUCCGCUUGUCCGUGUCGUUCGUGUGGGAGAUCGCAGGGACAGAGCGGCCAAGCGGGGCUGGUUCGGAGCUGGAUUCGCGCGCUCGUUUGAAUCUCAGCGCCUGCAUCCGCGCACCAUCCACUCGUCGGCUCCAGCAACUGCUUCCGAUCGAGGCGACCCACACGCGUGGAAUUCUCUCCAGCCUAGACGGCGCCAGGCUCUGAUGCUCCACGGUAACCACGCUACUCACGAUGGCGGCCUGGUCAGCUCAGUUGCCUGCUUCUGCAUUCGGGGUCGGGCGCCCUGCAGGUGUUCGGUGAAUUGCCACGCUAGGGAGACUGCGCCGUUAAGAGUUGGGUCACGGAUCCAGGUGACAGGUGAAAAAAAAUCUAAAGUGGCGCGAUUGUAUACUACAGUAUAUGAAAAAGACUUGGCUCGGCGCGGGUCGUCGGGAGAAGCUGCCGAGCCUCUGGGCCCUGCAUAUUCGAUCAUCAUCAAAGUCUGACAGGGAGUCGUCGAGGAAGGGAAGUAGCAACAAGCCAACGAGCAAGUCUUCCUCCGGUCAACGGGCAAGUCUUCCUCCGGUCAACUACGGGCGCCGCAGUUGAAUGCAGGUUUUAUGUCUAGUAGGAAAAAAGCAUUUGCAUCCGACAGAGUCGGCUGUGACGUGGUGUGUGGUCAUGUUGAGUACGUCAGUGCAACUCGUCAUGUAAUUACGUCGGAGUGAGCAUCCUAUGCAGCCAAUCUUCAUCGACCGGUAGAUCAAUCUAAGAAACACGGUUGGGCG
Molecule: long non-coding RNA, 890 nt
Organism: Triticum aestivum (bread wheat)
Lineage: Eukaryota; Viridiplantae; Streptophyta; Magnoliopsida; Poales; Poaceae
Exons: 2
Source: RefSeq, a predicted model, not a curated record